RNAcentral lists this long non-coding RNA (627 nucleotides) under Lactuca sativa (garden lettuce). RNAcentral describes it as "long non-coding RNA (LSAT_LNC003426)". Lineage: Eukaryota; Viridiplantae; Streptophyta; Magnoliopsida; Asterales; Asteraceae. The record is from RNAcentral.
AUAGGUUUGAUAUUAGAUAUUAGUUUUCCAUUUCUAAUUGAUCAAGUUUGUGUAUUUUUUCCAUUGGUGCUCAACAAUAGAGGUAUGAUAAUAUUGUGGGAUAGAAAUGGUGCAACAUUUAUGGAUGGAGUAAACAAUGGCGNCAGGUUUGAUAUUAGAUAUUAGUUUUCCAUUUCUAAUUGAUCAAGUUUGUGUAUUUUUUUCCAUUGGUGCUCAACAAUAGAGGUAUGAUAAUAUCGUGGGAUAGAAAUGGUGCAACAUUUAUGGAUGGAGUAAACAAUGGCGACGGAUGAUGAGUUACAGGGGCACACCUUGAAGACAUGAAAGAACUUUUUAUUUUUUUAAUAUAUAUAAAUUAUGUGUAUGUAUCAAAUUUUUUAUCCAUAUAGUUUUUGGAUGAAAGUUUAAAUAUCAAAUGGAAUUUCUCAAAAGUAAUUACUAUAAAAAGUAAUAGUAACAAUUUACAGUGAAAAAAAAACUAGUAAACAAUUAAGGACAAUUUGGUAAUUUAAAUAUUUUGUUGUGUGUUGUUCUAGUAUCACCAAACGUUAUCUUAAUUAUUUUUCCGAUUCUGUCCUUUCCAGCUCACUCCAGUUUCGAUUAGUAUUGUACAGUCUCAUACAUCAA